This 477-nucleotide ribosomal RNA is filed under the name uncultured Planctomycetales bacterium. RNAcentral's name for it is "bacterial SSU rRNA". It matches the Rfam family "Bacterial small subunit ribosomal RNA", at positions 365 to 832 of the family's 1533-position model. Lineage: Bacteria; Pseudomonadati; Planctomycetota; Planctomycetia; Planctomycetales. The record is from RNAcentral.
UUCGCAAUGCCCGAAAGGGUGACGAAGCGACGCCGCGUGUGGGAAGAAGGCCUUCGGGUUGUAAACCACUGUCGGGAGUUAAGAAAUGUAAGGGUGUUAAUAGUAUCCUUACUUGACUAAGGCUCCGGAGGAAGCCACGGCUAACUCUGUGCCAGCAGCCGCGGUAAUACAGAUGCGGCAAGCGUUGUUCGGAAUUAUUGGGCGUAAAGAGCACGUAGGCGGCUGUGUAAGUCGGUUGUGAAAGCCUUCCGCUCAACGGAAGAACAGCGACCGAUACUGCAUAGCUAGAGUGCGGGAGGGGAGAGUGGAACUUCUGGUGGAGCGGUGAAAUGCGUAGAUAUCAGAAGGAACGCCGGCGGCGAAAGCGGCUCUCUGGACCGUAACUGACGCUGAGUGUGCGAAAGCUAGGGGAGCAAACGGGAUUAGAUACCCCGGUAGUCCUAGCCGUAAACGAUGGGCACUAAGUAGAGGGGUUUU